RNAcentral lists this ribosomal RNA (345 nucleotides) under Nematoda environmental sample. RNAcentral describes it as "bacterial SSU rRNA". It matches the Rfam family "Eukaryotic small subunit ribosomal RNA", at positions 1300 to 1665 of the family's 1831-position model. Lineage: Eukaryota; Metazoa; Nematoda. The record is from RNAcentral.
GGUGGAGCGAUUUGUCUGGUUAAUUCCGAUAACGAACGAGACUCUGGCCUAUUAAAUAGUAGAGUCAUUCUGAACAGUGAUUCUUACUUCUUAGAGGGACAAGCGGCGUCUAGCCGCAUGAAAUAGAGCAAUAACAGGUCUGUGAUGCCCUUAGAUGUCCGGGGCUGCACGCGCGCUACACUGAAAGAAGCAGUGUGCGUCGAGACCCUAGUCCGGAAGGACCGGGUAACCCAAGUAAAUUCUUUCGUGCUUGGGAUAGGGAAUUGGAAUUAUUUCCCUUAAACGAGGAAUUCCCAGUAAAUGCGGGUCAUAAGCUCGCGUUGAAUACGUCCCUGCCCUUUGUAC